GGACAUGGCGGAAUGGCAGACGCGCUAGACUUAGAAUCUAGUUCCUAGGAGUGUGGGUUCAAGUCCCACUGUCCGC
This 76-nucleotide transfer RNA is filed under the name chicken gut metagenome. It matches the Rfam family "tRNA". From Rfam's summary of the family: Transfer RNA (tRNA) molecules are approximately 80 nucleotides in length. Their secondary structure includes four short double-helical elements and three loops (D, anti-codon, and T loops). Further hydrogen bonds mediate the characteristic L-shaped molecular structure. tRNAs have two regions of fundamental functional importance: the anti-codon, which is responsible for specific mRNA codon recognition, and the 3' end, to which the tRNAs corresponding amino acid is attached (by aminoacyl-tRNA synthetases). tRNAs cope with the degeneracy of the genetic code in two manners: having more than one tRNA (with a specific anti-codon) for a particular amino acid; and 'wobble' base-pairing, i.e. permitting non-standard base-pairing at the 3rd anti-codon position. The record is from RNAcentral.